AUCUCCUCCUCAUUUAGGUUCUGGUUCAGGAAUUGGCAGGGCUUCUCAAAAGUCUAACCCUUCUGGUUCUCAGCUCUUAUCUCAUUUUAGAAGUUACUCCAUGUCAUCAUUGCCUCAAAAUACUGCACCAUCUCCUCAACCUGUUAAAGUCCAAAGUUCUACACCCAGCUUUGACCUUGGAGACUUGAGCCAGUUCUCAUCUCAGAAGUUAUGGAAAAAUCAAA
RNAcentral lists this unclassified non-coding RNA (224 nucleotides) under Hevea brasiliensis (rubber tree). Lineage: Eukaryota; Viridiplantae; Streptophyta; Magnoliopsida; Malpighiales; Euphorbiaceae. The record is from RNAcentral.